AUGGAGGAGAAGAGUGAGGCGUCUUCGGCGUUCUGCGUCAGGGUCUUCACCCUGCAGGAGACGGGGAGGCCUGAGGAGAUGAGCAUCAGUGAGUCGGCCGAGCAGGAGCUGACCCUGCUGUGCACGACCGGAGCAGAGAACCAGCAGAUCACGGUGCUGGAUGGUAUGUACUGGCAGAAAUCAGAUAAAAGAGUAAGUCAAUAAGAAGUAAUGAAUGCAGAGCUGGUAACAAAACUGUUAUUAUUAUUAUCAUUAUUAUUAUUAUUAUUAUGUGCAUUAUCGAUUACUUAUUUUUAGGUGUGUGCAUUGCCAUGAAUCUGACUACACAAUAUAAUUCACGAUUUGCAUGCCACGAUGCGAUAUACAUGCCGAUACUAAACAAUGCCAUAUACAUUGCGAUAUAUCGCGAUUCAUCUUUACAAGUGCAAAAUGAUACGUAAUACAAUUUAUUUAAUUUUCCUUCUAAACUUGCGAGAACAAGUAAAAUCAGGCGUGCCCAAAUUCUUUUCAUCGAAGAGCCAAAAAUGUAUAUAGUUCAAGUUGCAGCACAUGAAAUUAAAUAUGCCAAUAACUUAACUGUGCAAUAGUAAACAAUUAAAGUAGUUUGAAUUUGAAGAACACUUAUAUAAAUGGGACACAACAUACCCCACCUAGACGAUCAAAACACAACAUUUUCCACUCUAAAACACAAUCCUUUAAAACUCGAGAAAAAUAAUGUAAUUGGACAUCAGCUUUAGAAUUUUUUUCUUAUAAAACACAGUACUGUAUUACAUUAUUUUUUGCAUUUUAAAAGAUAUCAAAAAAUGUAAUAAUUUUAAAUAUGGGCAGCGGGCCAAAACUAAUUGCUUGUGAGCCAGUUUUGGCCCCGAAGUAAAUGGUAACUAACAGUAAUUCAAGUACCAAUAUCAAAAACAAGCAGUAUGUUUAUUAAACUGUCAAAUUACAUUUUAACUUUUGCUUAUACGAAAGAUUAUGAUUAUUUUAAGUUCUUAAAUUCUUUUUUUUUUUUUUUUUUUUUUUUUUUUUUAAAGUAACCACAUACAUCUAUAAAAGGUUUUUUUUUUUUUUUCAUUAAAAAAUAUGACUUCAAAAAAUUGAUUUGGACAAUUUUUGGAUCAAUACGAUAAUUGCACUGUAUAUAUCGCCAAAUCAAUUUUUUCUUACACACUUAUUUUUAAUCCUACAAAAUAAAUAUCUGUGCUUUUUCCUUCUUCUUCGUUUU
This 1222-nucleotide long non-coding RNA is filed under the name Gouania willdenowi (blunt-snouted clingfish). RNAcentral's name for it is "lncRNA (ENSGWIG00000006284.1)". The record is from RNAcentral. Lineage: Eukaryota; Metazoa; Chordata; Actinopteri; Blenniiformes; Gobiesocidae.